This 6517-nucleotide long non-coding RNA is filed under the name Nicotiana benthamiana. RNAcentral describes it as "long non-coding RNA (NBEN_LNC004972)". The record is from RNAcentral. Lineage: Eukaryota; Viridiplantae; Streptophyta; Magnoliopsida; Solanales; Solanaceae.
UCAAAAUACAGAUACUUUUACAACUGAAGUGAAACAAGUGAUUCAAGUAUAACAUUACUUGUUUGACUUUUCCAGCAACCAUACACAACCUUAAUUAUGUCUACGGAGCCUCUAAUAGAUACGAAAGAUUACUAUAAUAAUGCUGGCAAUAAGGCCCUGGAUAUACCUCAAACACAAUACACGAGGAACAAAGAUACAUGACCCCAAAAUGAAGUAUGUUUCACCAAAUCUACUAGGAAGGGAGAGUACCACUAUCACUGAUCAAUGCUACCUGAUGCGGAAUCACAUGCAUCCAUUAAAGAUGCAGCGCCCCAGACAAAAAGGACGUUAGUACAUGAUGAGUAGUACUAGUAUGAAAAACCAACACCCGUUCAAGGAUUUGGAAGUACAACAUGAAUGUGAUGAAUCCUGGAAAUAAUAAAAGAGGGCUCAGAUAACUUAUAACCUUUAAAGCUAUAGCAAAUUUAUUAAAAACUUUAACAUUUAUAAAUUUUAAGUCAGAGAUCCUUUGUAAAAACCUUUACACAAAGCGACCCUACCGCCUCACCCCAAUGUAUACCAGUGGGGAUGCAAUCACCAUACCACAAUCUUUAGACAAAGCGGCCCUACCGCCUUACCCAGUGAGUGCGGGUGGAGGUGUAUCCUCAGUAUUAUAGUCUCUACACCAAGCGACAUUGUUGCCUUACCUUAAUGUAUGCGGGUGGAGGUUUAAUCACAUUACUACAACUCUACAUAAAAAGGUAAUGCCGCCCCACCUCAAUGUAAGCGGGAUCACAAUUUGGAUUCUCAAAACGAUAACAGUUUGUACAAAAGAUUUCCUUUCAAAUCAAACCCUUUGGCCCCUUGGGACUUAACAAAAAUAUAAAUUCAUACGAUUUAAUCAUAUGGGAAAUAAGAAUUUGAUCACAUUGAUUUCAGUCAAAACUUUUUCCCUAAAAUGGAUAUAAUAUAGUUAAGUCAAAAUAGAGAAUCAUUAACACAUGAGGGUUCUAACACGUAAUGACAAUCAAUAAUCGACUUACUAGCUCGAACAUCCCACAUCAGUAGCGUUUCAAGUUUGAACUACACCCGAUUGGAGUUUCGUAAAAAUACAGGAAUUCCGAUACUAGAAAAAGAGUUUAGCCUUCAUACCUCGAAAGAGCUUUAUGUGGUGUAACAAUAACGUCCCAACACUCCUAACAAUGCCAAUAUAUAGAGGAUGAGAGAAUUAUAACCACAAUUAGAAGAAUCCAUAUGGAAAGAGAUGCUAAGGUGAUGACCCAGCCAUUUCCCGAUAAUUCAACAACGAAUCCCAUCCAAGAUGUUAAACAACUUUCCCACAAUCUGUAUUAGCUCAUGCAUGUGAUAAAUCUACUCUUAUCACCCAUAAUCAACUUAAAUCCGAAAUGGAAGAAUUGGGGGAAGAAAUUCUUACCUUUUUGAAUCCCUAGCAAGUUCCUUUUAGUGAAAUUUCAAGGCUUGAUCCAAGUUGAGUAGUGAAAUCCUUGAGUACUCUCCUUUCUGUAUCUAUAAUAGCUCUCAUGUCUCUCAAAAAAUAUCAUAUGAAACCCUAAAAAAUGACCCCCAAAGUCUUUUACGAAAAUAGGAUCGGGUAAAAUUCCAAAUCUUAAACUUGCCGAAUUGGGUCUGCGGUCGCAGACUUUACCGCAUAAUUGCAUUGCAGCCCGCAAAAAUGAAGCACAAAAACUGUACUUGCCUAGACUAGUAUGCGACAGUUCUGCCGUCCGCGAAUCUUUUCUGCGACUGCAGACUAGACCGCAGAAUAACCUUCCAAAUUUUCUCGUGCCAAGUUUAUGACUGAAAUGUAGUACGCGAAGUGAAUAUGCGAUCGCAUAAUGCACCGCAGAAGUGACCUUCAAAAAUAAACAAUUUUUCUGCUCAAUUGUGUGAUGGCUAUGCGGCCUACAAACCCCUUUUUAGCGGUCGCAAACUUGACCACAGAAUCACCUUCUUUUGUCAAAAUAUUCCACAAACUCCCCGAGAUACUGUACAACCCAAAACGUUUGUACCGUGGCGAGCCAAUUUUUACAAUCCUCAAACACAUUAGCUUGCCCCGGCAGCGCAAAACCUCAGGUUCUAGGUGAAAUUUUACGGGGCCUUACAAUAGUUAUCACAAAUAACAUAGACAACUAGUGCCUUAACUAAGUUUAGGUAAGAUGCUUACCUCAAGCAAGGAAAAUCACUCCUCUAACAAGACUUUUCCAAGUGUCUCAACCUCUGUAUGGCUCGAAUCUAGCGAAAAUAACUUAAUACCAUCAAUAAUAGACGUAGGAAACAAUUUCAAGCGAUAAAGCUAAAGUAUUUAAUCAAAUAUGCAAAUUCUACCCAAAAAGUCAAUCCCAGGUCUGCUCCCAAGAACCCGAUAUAUUUUAUAAUUUUCGAAUACCCAUUCAAUUACGAGUCGAACCAUGCCAAUUUCAUCCACAAAUAGAACCUCAAAUCACCAAAUCUCAAUCUCCAAUAACAUAGCCUAAAAUUUCACUUCAAAUUCACAUAAAUUAGGAAUAAUAAUGAAUGGGUAAUUAAUAUCUAGCACCAAAAGUGAGUAAAAUUCACUUACCAAAAAAAAAAGAGGAGUGAAGACCAAACCCUCGAUGUAUAAUCCUAUACAGCAAAUCCGCAUCUGUGGUCCAAUAGGUAGCACCUGCAACUCCGCAUCUGCAAAACUCCCAUCGCAGAUACGGAACUCAUUAAGUUCCAGACCAUAUGCACCUACAGUCGACUAGUCGUUUCUGCACAACAUCGACUGCACCUGGGAUUUCCUCCAAGUGCCCUACCUUUCGCUUCUGCGGAGCUCCUUCGCAUCAGUGACUCCGUCCUAUGCACAUCCCAUGCGCAAACGUUUAUGCACACAUCUAUCUACACAUGUGGAAUUCCCUUUCCAGGCUCAUCUUUGCACCUAUGUUUCCCCAGCCGCAUAUGUGGCCAAGCCCAACACAUAUGCGAAAACAUCAUAAAUCAGAAUCCCUUAGCUAUUUCUUCAAGUCCCAAAAUGGUCUGAACUCAACCCGAAAGUCAUCUUAUGGCCUCAACCAAGCAUAUUAACACGUCAUAAAACACAGUACGAACUCACGUGAAGCCGAAUUUCACAUCAAAUAACACCAAAAUCAUGAAUUGCACCCCAAUUCAAACCUAAUAAAACUAAUGAACUUCCACCUUCUAAAACUCAUUUCAAUCCAUACCAAAUCAACUCUGAAUAAUCUCAAAAUUUGCAAACUACUCUCAUAUGACAAAACAAACCUAUUUCAAUUUUCGGAACAAAAAAUCCGAACCUAAUAUCAACAAAGUCAACUCUCAGUCAAACCUCUUAGCCUUCCAAACUUUCAGUUUUUCAACUUUCGCCAUAAAGCAUCAAACCAACCUACGCACCUCCAAAUCAAUAUCUAGACAUACUCCUAAAUUUAAAGUCACCAUAAAAAGCUAUUGGAGCCAUCAAAAUACCGUUGUGGUGUCGUCUACACAAAAGUCAAAUUCUGGUCAACUUCUUUCAAUUUAAACCUUCAACGUUGGGACUAAGUGUCCCAAUUCACUCAAAUACCUCCCCAAAACCAAUCCAAUCACCCCUGCAACUCACAUAACCACAAAUGAAUAUAGAUUAAGCAACAAAUAGGGGAAUAAUAUUGGCUGAGUCAAAACGAUCAGCCGAGUCGUUACAAUAUCACUCUGGCCUAACACGAUAACAAUAUCCAAAUGUAUCUCUCUCCGACAUGAUAAUAUCCAUCUAUAUCACUCUUCCCUAACACAAUAACAAUAUCUAACUGUAUCGCUUUGUCCUAACACAAUAAUAAUAUAUAAUUGUAUCGAUCUACCAUAACACAAUGUCAAUUACAAUUGUAAAUCAAAAUCCUCAUGCUAACACCUAAGAGAUCUGCUUACAUGUCCACAUAUUCCAUAAUAAUCACACAAAAAAUGCCAAGUUUCACCACGGAUAUAAGUUCAUAAUUUAUCAACAAGGUGCACAAAGACAUAAAAAAGUAAGAUGUGGAUGGCGUUUAACAUAUAAAGCAUUACUACAGCUAAAACAAUUGUAGUAAUCAAGUUUAUGUCGUCACCUAGUGAUUAAGAACAUUUCAUAUGAAAUAUAUCCUCAAAUUAAGGCAUACUAAUAGGCUAAGACGUAAUCUGUUAGUAAGCCACACACAGCACUCAUGUAUAUACUUUAUCACCUCGUGUAUAUGUAGCUUUUCACAUAACAUGAAUAAUAAUUAAGGCCAAAUCCAAAGGGGAAUUUCAUCACACAAAAUUAGGCAUGAAAUUUACCUCAAACAAGCCAAAUAAAUAUUAAAAAGCCUCUGCCUCUCGAAUCGGCCUCUGAAUGGGCCAAAUCUAGGAAAUAUUACUCAAUAAUAUCAAAUAAGGCUAUUGAAAUUGAUUCCAAGUAAUAAAACUCUAAUCUUAUCAAAUACCUAAAGUAAGCCUAAAAGUCAACUCGGGCGAAAUGUGACAAAACUUAUCAUUUCGACUACCCAUUCUAAUACGAGUCCAAAUAUAUAAGUUCCAUCCAAAUUUGACUCCAAAUCUGGGUUCAAAUCUCUUCUUUCUUCUUUUUUUAAAGUUUUUCGAAAAUCCCCGAAUUUCUCACUUAGAUUCACCAAUCAAAUUUCAAAUUCAAGGAAGGAAUUACAAAUAAUAAUUAAAUCCAAAUCAAGAACACUUACCCAAUCCAAGUGGGUGAAAAUGCCUUACAAAUCACCCAAAUCCGAGCUCCCAAUCGUAAACUAUAAUAAAUGGAAAAAAAACCCUCGCUCAAGAUAUAUUAUACCUAGUUAUUUCGUUUCUGUGAUAAAAUCUACCGCUUUUGCAAUAAAAUCUCACUUCUACGAGUUUCAUUUAAUUCCCAACUUGUCGCACCUGCGGAGUAUCUUCUGCGAUAUUGCAGGUGCUAGGAAAAAUCCCGCUUCUCUGCAACUACCUCUCAAGACUACCUGCUCGGCUUCUGCCCCAAGGACUCUGUAUAUUCGAUCAGAUGCACCAAAAACAUUUGCAUCUUCGAACCUCUCCUGCCCCAGCCAUAACCUUGUUUCUGCGACCCAUGUCCCCUUCUGCGGACUCCAACCUACAGGCCUAACCUCGUAGGUGCAAGAACACUAGACAUAAAUGCUACAAGACACCAAACAAUCUAAAAUCGCUCUGAAACACACCGGAGGCCCCAUCCAAUCAUACCAAAUCCCAAAAAUGUAAAACGGAUAUACUCGAAGCCUCAAAUUAUGUAGGACAACAUCAAAAUCACAAAUCGUACAUCAAUUCAAGCUUAAUGAACUGUAUAACUUCCAAACUAACAAAACUUAAGCCGAACCACAUCUAACAAACUUGGAAUGACCCCAACUUUGCACACAAGUUUCAAAUGACAUAAAGAACUUAUUGCAACUCCCAAAACAACAAUCCAAAUCCGAUAGCAUCAAAGUCAACUCCCGGUCAAACCUAUAAAUUUUCCAAGCUUUCAAAGUUUCAACUUUCACCAAAUAGAACCAAAUCAAUCUAGGGACCUCCAAAUCCAACUUCGGACAUAAGCCUAAGUCCUAAACCACCAUACGAACUUAUUGGAACCAUCAAAAUAUUAUUCUAGGAUCGUUUACAAAAUAGUUAAAUCCCGAUCAACUCUUAUAACUUAAGUUUCUAACUUUAGUACUAAGUGUUCCAAUUCAUUUCAAAACCUUUCCGAAACCAAACCAACCAUCCUUGAAAGUCAGAUAACAAUAAAAUACACAUAUAUGUAGCAUCAAAUGGUCAAGUGAGACUCAAAUAUACAAAACAACCAGCAGAGUUGUUAUAGAAACCUAGCAUUUAACUAUUAUUAUUUUAAAACACAUAAAUAACGCAUGAUUGCUUGUACCACAUAAUCAUACAUAACAUUUUAAAAUAACUAUUUAAUAUAUAGACCAAUAUGCUUAGAAGAUAUGAACAUUUGGAAGAAGCUUUAUGAAAGAAAAAUGCUCAACAUAUCUUGAACGUUCUUCUCGCUAACAAUAGCUUUAUCUAUUUCAUACAACUCAUCGACAGUCAAUCUAUAUAAUACAAUAGAGAAUUCGCUAUUAACAACUGAUUCGGACUCUCAUAUGAAAAUACUCAUCCCUAGUUUAUUCAUUUUAGGUGUUAUGGAACUCAAUCCAUCUAUUAGAAAUCCCAAACCAAACUAUCCUAUUCAAGCCAACACUAUUCAUAUUCUUCAUUAGAACCCUAGCUGAAUAAUACUCAUUUAAGGAGUUUGCGUGAUUACUCACAAAAAUGGUAUUUUCUACUUCACAAAACCUUCUAAAUACUUAAUUCAUAAAAAUAUUUAAAGCUAACAUGAAAAAAUUGUCUCUUGAUAGCCGUCUUGAAUUUCGAAAUUCGUGAUGGUUUUGGAAAAAAUGAUUUUCAAUCAAGAAUUUAUAAAUUUUAAGGUUUAAUCUUGUUAAUAUAAGUAUACGUUGGGGAGUCGGAAUCAACUUAAAGUACCAUUAAAACUCACUUUGGCAGUUGAAGAGCCUUGGUCGAACGGGGUUGAGAGGAAUAAGCCCUAGCUCCAAUUUGGGUU